UGUCUAUCUUUACAAGUCUUUAUAUAUAACCGUAGUUGGGGUUUUGCUUGAUCCAUUUUUUUGCUACCCUUAGGAUACUUCCUCAGCCAUCAUUGAAGGCAGGACCAACCAUAGAAGUUGCCUGGAGCCUACAGUCUAUUACCAUUUCCAGUAGCAGCAGCCUGUGAAUAUAGGAAGCUUUUUAGGCCUUUUAGGAAACUUUCACUGCCUGCACCUGUAUGGGAUCCCACAGACUUCACAGAGACUUACUAUGGACACAGGUCCACCUGCAUGGUUCUCUGGGUAUGGAUGGAGCUUGAGAUGGGAAGAAAUAUCCCACUCAACAACAUGGAAGUCAUAGGAAAUAUCCCCAUUAUGGCUUUCUGCAAGGACAUUCAGUCACCAUUGCAGCAAGGGGCACAGAGCAGAAGUAGUAUUUUCUGAAGGAAAAAAAAAAAAAAAAAAGAUUUGCUAAUGCCAGACUACUACUACUACAAUAAUAGCCCUAGAAAUAUCUUCAGGUAGUCAAAGGACCUGACGACUGAUCCAUGAGAACUGCAACCAGACUGCAGGGACCAAGGUGUUAAAACUACCACCUCAGGAGCCAAUUUUGUAAUUCUCCCUUCUCCAAAGAUAUUUAUGCUACUGGAAAGAGGUCAAAGAGGAGUGGGUCUUUGUCAUUCCUUCCUCUUGACCUUCUUCUCAGGAGGAGAAGAUCUGGCAAUCCCAUUUCAGUUGUUUGCAUUUUGUUUUUUCUAAAGCGAUACACUGACCUAUAACCCAUUUUUACAUGAACUAGUCAAAAAAGUUAUCCAUAAAUUGUGUUUUCAGCAUAUAACUGAAGUUGUGAGAGCAUAAGCAGUCAGAUAUUUUUUGGUAAGAAGAAAAAUUAUUGCAGAAGCUUCACAUUUUAUUUCGGUUAUCCACCAAGCAAACACGUCCACUUGAAAAUAGCUGCCAUUGUACAUGCCUGACUAUAUUCAUGAGAUGUACAGUUAUCCACUCCAUUGUAAUCUGUGAGUUGGUCUCUCCUUUUUUCUCUAAUAAGUAUUUUAUGAACGUCAUCUUCCAGUCUAUUGAAGAAUCCUCCAUCAUGCAAUAAAGUCUGGGAAGAGCUCAGUUCCUGUCAAGAAUUAAUGUCAUGAUUUAUCUCCAUUUAAAUAAAAGUCAAUAUCCAGCUAAACAAUUAAAUAUAGUUGAGUUUUAAAGAAGUCUGUGUUUAAAGUCACAAAAAUGCACAAAAUAUAGGUAUCUUCUUCUUUAAUAUAUAGAGACACAUCAUGAGAAAACAGAGUACUAAAUUAUACCUAGUGCAUAUUUUCCUGCCAACCAUAAAACUCUGAAAAAUAAGAACAUUUCACAGAAGUGGUAUCAGGCGAGAAAAAAAAUUCUCCCAUUGAUUUAAUACUUUUGUGCAAUGCCUACCUAGAUUUUUGAAUUAUAAAUCACUUUGACGUUAAAUAUUUCUUUUUCUACCUAAAAGAGUCAUAAUAUUAGGAAUGUUCCACUGCACAAUAUUUGCCAUUAAUAUUUUCUUAUCUACUCUGCUUCUAAUAGUUAUUUAACUUCUUGUACCCUGCAUAGAGAACUUUUAGGGCCAGGCUUUCAAAUCUGUCUAAACUGCACCAACAAAAUUUGCAAGCCUGUAACUGAUGGCACAGAACUGGAAAAGGCACAUAUAAGUUCUCAUUCAUGGACUUUUUAUCUUUGCAUUUGCUCACACGAGUUUUAUGGACAUACUUUAGGCACCCGAUUUGAAAAAUUAAUUCCUUUCAUUACAGAAAGUGAUUAGGCCUCUUUGUUUAAAUACUUAUCUUCUGCACACAAAACCUCAUUAUUUAAGCUGGUCUUUGGUGUUGUGUUAGUUUUUAUUAAACUAAUAAACAUAAGUCGUACCUCGUGUUUUUUAGCAAGGGGAUCUGAAAAAGAACACAGGAAAAAUAAAUAUUACUUUAAAAAAAAAUACUGCAUUGAUUUAAUCAUACCAAAAACUAUCAAAGUGAAAUAAUUCAGAUGAGGCUGAAAAAUCCAUUUUGGUUCUUCAGCAUUAACUCUCAUUCUUUUCCCAAAAUUACACUAAAGAAUUAAAGAGGACUGUCUACACCAGUGAUACUCAGACCUCAGUGGUUCAGAAGCCAAAUUAGCGAUAAAUAUUACUCAAAAGACCAACAGUAGUGUGAAUUCAUUGUUUCAUUUACUGUAGUACUAUAUUUUAUAUAUAUUAUUCUCACAGCAAAUAAGUUAAAUCAGUGCAAGUUGAUAACUUAGUUAAUAAAAGUAUCCUGAUUGGUUAAUAAUUACAUCACACAGUGUUUUUAAAAUCAUGUGCUGCAAAGAGUCGCAGGAGACACGCUAAAGAUCCACUUGCAGCUUGUGAGCCUCAGGGCUUCACUACCAGGGAGAUCAACGCUGCUGCAAUCAAUGCAGUGGAUGUCGAAUUAGCAACUUAAGUACUCCAGCUCUCCAAGAAGAGUAAGGUAAGUUGACUGGAGAGGGUCUCCCAUUGACACAGCGCAGCGAAGACACCAGGGGAAGUCGACCCCAGGGACGUGAAUAAUGUAGCUGGAGUCACGUAACUUAGGUCGACUUACGCCGGUAGUGAAGACAAGCCUCAGUCUGAGUAUCAUUAGUCUAGGUUGUAUUUUAAACCCCAUCCCUUAAAAUAAUGUAACAGAAAGCAGACCCUAAUCUGUUAAAUGCAGUGAGAAUUCAUAACUGGCAAGCAACAUUUUUGCAAUAAACAGACUGCAGACUGUAUUUAAUUCUAUUCUGGUUCUUAUAUUGCCCUUAUCACCUUAGAAUCUCAGUGCCUUCCAGUAGCAUAUUAGGGGACAAGACCAACAUCUAUAAUUUGUUCAGACUGUCAUCCUUUGCGGGUGUUUUACUGGGUUUUUUGUUUUUGUUUCUUGGUUUGUUUUUAAAAUCAACACACAUUUAAUAGAAUACUGGUAACUUAGAUAAGUGCUUAGAAUAUAUUUUUUUUAAAUAGACUUCUGAUUCAAUAGUCUUUUUUCUCCUUCCAGAUCCUACCAUUGUUUCCCUGCUAAAGGCAGGACCACUGCUCUGAAGACAACAGGAACAAACCAGCACCCAAAGAAUUUACAAAAAGAGUGUAAAAGGUGCUGUGAAAUUCAGGACUUAUCAGCACUUUCUCUCCUGGAACACUAUGUAGAUGACUGGAGAACUAGCAAGACAACACCACAAGCACCAAAGAAGGUAAACCUAACCAGCUGAGAAGGAAUUUUUAGUCAGCCUGUUCAAAACUGUUAUUAUCUAUUUAAGUCAAAUAACUGAAACAAUUGGGAGGAAAGACGUUAAAGAUUCAACAUGCCUACCACUUCAAUUCAGACCUAAAAAAGCUCCCCCUCCCCUUCAGUUCUAUGAUCCUCUAGGAAGACCUCUCCAGAUCCCCCACCAAGACCAAUAAAUAAAACAAAACACACCCACCCACCCCUACAUGGAACAAGGUUUAGCAGUCUUAUUUUUAAGGUGAAAACAAAUGUCUUUAUAUAUCAAAGAAGCAAAGAGGGUACAAAGUCAUUUUCCCCCUUGGCAGGUCAUCUUUAACAUUCUCAAACUAAUAUGGCUGUUUGUGGUUUCCCUCAGCUCUCUAAUGGUUCUCUCAAUUCUUAAUAAAUCUUUGGGUAUUAAAAACUAAAGAGUUAGCUUACAGAAAAUUUUGUGGAAACAAAAUUAGACUCCUUUCUCCAGAACUCAAUAAAGGUCAAAAGCUUGCACAAUUUUCAGAUCACGAUGAAGCCAGCAAAUACCUUUUUGUGCUCUUCAUAUUCCAGUUUGCUUAGCAGUAAUGCCUUUUCAAGAUCUGCUUCAAACAUUUCAGAUGUCAGCUGAAGAAAUAAGAUUAAGACAAAAACUCAUGACAGAUUUUUGUUUUUGUUUUUAUUAAUAAAAAGCAAAAAGGUGCGCAAUUGACAGCUGGUUAAAAGGUUAAAACUUAAUUUUAGCCUAUGGAAUGUUACAGCUACUGUCAACAUACUCUUGGUAAUAUGAUGAAAUGCACGAGUAAGAACAACUAAAUACGUUUGUACAACAGUUGGUAGAAUACCUUAUUGGUUGAAACACAUUUUGUUACAUAAAAGUCUGACUGAAACCAUGCACUACUAAGUCACUAUAGGGAAAGUGAAGUUCUUUUUUUUUUUAAAUUGCUUUUGUUCAAAAUGCUUGCCUGUAACUUAGAUCAUGAAGUUUUGCAUGCAGAAGCUUGUUGAUUUUAAAGCCUAAAAUAUCAACAAGUAGAACAGGGGAAAGAAGAGCCUCUCAAAAGCAUAGAAAAGACCAGGCCACCUCUGCUGCCAUUAACAAAAAGUAACUUCUGCUGAAUGGCAGGGAUGGCAAGAGACUCCAGGACAUCAUGUGUGAAAGAAACAAAAGUUUGUCUGGGAUGCCAUAGGAGGAGGAUGUGCAGUGCAAGAGUUGUUUCAGAGAAGUGUAAGGGAUCAAGAGCGGUCUUAGAUUAAGGAGAGAUGGAGGGAAGCUUUAGUCUUGAUGGAGUUUCUUGGGACGUGGGAUAAAAGGGGAAUUGAAAUUUUAUAUGUGGGGACUGAAAAGGAAAGAACUAAGUGUUGCUUAGAGGUAGAGGGGUAACAUCUGAUUUUAUAGUGUGGUGGUAUGGCAGAGGGGUAGCUGAGUUUUGUUUAGAGCACUAUAUUAAUCUCCAUGGGAAAAGGUAAGCCAAAAAAAAAAAAAAAAUACACCAAAGCCAAUACAAACUUACUGAAUGGGGGACACAGAUGGGCUGAAGGUAAGCAGAGGAAGGGAUUCACCUGGAUUCAGGGUAUUGCUGGAUCAGAAGGAAGUGGCUG
Molecule: long non-coding RNA, 4802 nt
Organism: Chelonia mydas (Green sea turtle)
Lineage: Eukaryota; Metazoa; Chordata; Testudines; Cheloniidae
Exons: 3
Source: RefSeq, a predicted model, not a curated record